Molecule: ribosomal RNA, 460 nt
Filed under: uncultured bacterium
Lineage: Bacteria
Description: partial 16S ribosomal RNA
Rfam family: Bacterial small subunit ribosomal RNA
Source: RNAcentral
CCUACGGGCGGCAGCAGUGAGGAAUAUUGGUCAAUGGGCUUACGCCUGAACCAGCCAAGUCGCGUGAGGGAAGACUGCCCUAUGGGUUGUAAACCUCUUUUGUCAGGGAGCAACGCCGGCUACGUGUAGCCGGACUGAGAGUACCGGAAGAAAAAGCAUCGGCUAACUCCGUGCCAGCAGCCGCGGUAAUACGGGGGAUGCGAGCGUUAUCCGGAUUUAUUGGGUUAAAAGGGUGCGUAGGCGGAAUGCCAAGUCAGCGGUAAAAGCGCGGGGCUCAACCUCGCUCCGCCGUUGAAACUGGCGUUCUUGAGUGGGCGAGAAGUAUGCGGAAUGCGUGGUGUAGCGGUGAAAUGCAUAGAUAUCACGCAGAACUCCGAUUGCGAAGGCAGCAUACCGGCGCCCAACUGACGCUGAAGCACGAAAGCGUGGGUAUCGAACAGGAUUAGAUACCCUUGUAGUC